CCUACGGGCGGCGUUCACCAUCGCGCGUCCCUCGGCCAUGGUCAGAGUCAUCGGUUUUUCCACGUAGACGUCCUUGCCCGCCAUGCAGGCGUAGAUGGAGCAGAGGGCGUGCCAAUGGUCGGGAGUGGCCACGAUCACCGCAUCGACUUCUUUCAACUCCAACAGUUUUCGGAAGUCCUGGCAUUUCUUCCAGUCUUUCCCGGCGGCGACCUGAUCCAUCCGCUUCGAGUUGAGAUCGCUGAGGGCUACGAAUUGAAAGCCCUUCAAUUGCCUGAAAUCGCCCAUCAACUGUCCACCGCGCCGUCCGGGGCCGAUCACGCCGACGCCAAUCGUGUCGUUCGCUCCAAACACGCUCGAUGAAAUCACAAGGGGAGCGGUCAACGCGGCAACGCUCGCGCCGCCUCCCCGCUUGAGAAAGUUUCUACGGGAUACCCCAGUAGUC
This 442-nucleotide ribosomal RNA is filed under the name uncultured prokaryote. Its description in RNAcentral is "partial 16S ribosomal RNA". The record is from RNAcentral.